AUUUAUAUAGUAUAAAAAUUAUAAUUGAUUUCCAAUCAAAAGAUCUAAAUAACUUAGUAUAAAUA
Molecule: transfer RNA, 65 nt
Filed under: Phyllopertha horticola
Lineage: Eukaryota; Metazoa; Arthropoda; Insecta; Coleoptera; Scarabaeidae
Description: tRNA-Gly
Source: RNAcentral